RNAcentral lists this ribosomal RNA (467 nucleotides) under uncultured bacterium. Its description in RNAcentral is "partial 16S ribosomal RNA". It matches the Rfam family "Bacterial small subunit ribosomal RNA", at positions 28 to 506 of the family's 1533-position model. The record is from RNAcentral.
GACGAACGCUGGCGGCGUGCUUAACACAUGCAAGUCGAACGGAAAGGCCCUGCUUUUGUGGGGUGCUCGAGUGGCGAACGGGUGAGUAACACGUGGGUAACCUGCCCUUGACUUUGGGAUAGCUUCAGGAAACUGGGGCUAAUACCGGAUAGGAGCUCCUGCUGCAUGGUGGGGGUUGGAAAGUUUCGGCGGUUGGGGAUGGACUCGCGGCUUAUCAGCUUGUUGGUGGGGUAGUGGCUUACCAAGGCUUUGACGGGUAGCCGGCCUGAGAGGGUGACCGGCCACAUUGGGACUGAGAUACGGCCCAGACUCCUACGGGAGGCAGCAGUGGGGAAUAUUGCACAAUGGGCGGAAGCCUGAUGCAGCAACGCCUCGUGCGGGAUGACGGCCUUCGGGUUGUAAACCGCUUUCGCCUGUGACGAAGCGUGAGUGACGGUAAUGGGUAAAGAAGCACCGGCUAACUACGU